UUCCGGUUGAUCCUGCCGGACCCGACUGCUAUCGGAUUGGGACUAAGCCAUGCGAGUCAACUCCGCAAGGGGUGGCGCACGGCUCAGUAACACGUAGUCAACCUACCCUAGGGACGGGGAUAACCUCGGGAAACUGAGGCUAAACCCCGAUAGGCCAUGGUUCCUGGAAUGGACCAUGGCUGAAAUCUAUAUGGCCCUAGGAUGGGACUGCGGCCGAUCAGGUUGUUGGUGGGGUAAUGACCCACCAAGCCUAUAACCGGUGCGGGCUCUGAGAGGAGGAGCCCGGAGAUGGGCACUGAGACAAGGGCCCAGGUCCUGUGGGGCGCAGCAGGCGCGAAACCUCCGCAAUGGGCGAAAGCCCGACGGGGUCAGUCCGAGUGGUCCCCGCUGAGGGGACCUUUUGCCAGCUGUAAACAGGCUGGAGAAUAAGGGGUGGGCAAGUUUGGUGUCAGCCGCCGCGGUAAAACCAGC
Molecule: ribosomal RNA, 471 nt
Filed under: uncultured crenarchaeote
Lineage: Archaea; Thermoproteati; Thermoproteota
Description: bacterial SSU rRNA
Rfam family: Archaeal small subunit ribosomal RNA
Source: RNAcentral